RNAcentral lists this ribosomal RNA (506 nucleotides) under uncultured bacterium. Its description in RNAcentral is "bacterial SSU rRNA". It matches the Rfam family "Bacterial small subunit ribosomal RNA", at positions 30 to 518 of the family's 1533-position model. The record is from RNAcentral.
AUUGAACGCUGGCGGCGUGCUUAACACAUGCAAGUCGAACGCGAAAGGGACUUCGGUCCUGAGUAAAGUGGCGCACGGGUGAGUAACGCGUGGAUAAUCUGCCCUUAUGAUCGGGAUAACAGUUGGAAACGGCUGCUAAUACCGGAUACGCUCAAAAUGAACUUUUUGAGGAAAGAUGGCCUCUGCUUGCAUGCUAUCACGUAAGGAUGAGUCCGCGUCCCAUUAGCUUGUUGGCGGGUAACGGCCCACCAAGGCAACGAUGGGUAGCCGAUUUGAGAGGAUGAUCGGCCACACUGGAACUGAAACACGGUCCAGACUCCUACGGGAGGCAGCAGUGGGGAAUAUUGCGCAAUGGGCGAAAGCCUGACGCAGCGAUGCCGCGUGAGGGAUGAAGGUUUUCGGAUCGUAAACCUCUGUCAGAAGGGAAGAAACUACGUUGUGCUAAUCAGCAGCGUACUGACGGUACCUUCAAAGGAAGCACCGGCUAACUCCGUGCCAGCCGCUGC